GGGGAAUGGGGAUGUGCCACUCAUGCAGUAAACCAAUGCCUCGUGAGAGGGGAGAAAGAGAAUCAUAUCCACGGACUUGAAAUCAGCUCACCAGACUAAGGAUGGCAGGCAGAUGACACUGGGAGAGGGACAUCCUAAAGACGGGCAGAGACUUGAGCACCCCUCCACCACUGGCACCAGUAACCAUUCCAUAACCUUCCUCUCAAAGGUCAGGGUGAAGAGCAUAUGCACACUGAAAACGGUCUGUGACCCAAAGGGGAGCUCUGAAAUGACCAAAGAACAGUCUCAACUCGUCGGGGCAAGGUGUCGAAAAUGUUCCACAGGGAUGCUGGCCCAUGUUGACUCCAAUGCUUCCCAUAGUUGUGUGAAGUUGGCUGGAUGUCCUUUGGGUGGUGUACCAUUUUUGAUACACACAAAUGUUUAGCGUGAAAAACCCAGCAGAGUUGCAGUUCUUGGCAAAAAACGGUCAUAUUUGGAGUUAAAAUACUGAUAAAAUCUCAAAAUGAAUUUCUCGGUUUAACAUCUUUGCUGCAACACAAAGCUACUUUCUGAAACAAUACAAAAGCAGGACUAUAGCUAUGCUAUUCGUUUGUGUUGGUUCUUGCGUGAGGUUAUGUGGUGGAAAGAUUUAAUCUGAUGCGUUAUUUAUGGUGUGUGAUUAUUUAUUUAUUUGAUUAUUUUGUAAAUUAUUUAGCUAUUGAAUUAUUAAUUCAUCUUCAUGACAUGCCUUACAUUAUUCAUGACUUCAUUUCAGAUUAUUGCAUCUACAUGCCACAUUGUUGUAGUGUAGGAUCGCCUUUUCACAUCAAGUCAGACAAGGAAAUUAAAUCCACCUCUGAGGCUAUUUUGUCUUGAACUGAGGAGAAGUAGAGAAAUGAUCCUGUAAGGAUGCUAUUUGCAUACAAUAUGUGGUCACACUGGAAAGAGAUGGACACAUUUGUCUUGUUCACAUUAAGGUGUGAUCUAUAUACUGUGUUGUUAUAUCCUUCUUUUGUGGCAAUAUUAGGUCACUAUUUUCUUCAUUUCCUGACUAAUCAAAGUUUGUGAAUCCAAUAUGGAAAUGCAGGAAGUGUAGAAUGUAACUUUAAUGCAGAAUGUGCUUACUUUUUUAAACACCUGAGGAAAAUGAAUAUGAUAAUCAGCUGGUUGCGUGGUGUAUUGGGUGCCAUUUUGUUGAAGGCCUGUGUCCUGUUGCUUCCUGCAUUUAAAUGGCUCACAACAAAACGAUGAAAGCUGUGUUGUGUGAUCAAGACAGCUGUCAGAUAGACAGAGUGUGGGACAUGCAUUAAUUUUCGAUGCAUAGAGCAUGAUUCUAAAUACGACAUGUUAGUCCCAAACUGUCAGUAGCCUACAUGUAGAGAAAUAUUAGAAUAUUAGAGUCUGCUUUGGGAGGUUGGAAUCUUUUUAGAAACUCCACAUGAGGUGCACUGAUGACAUUUUGCUUCAUAUCAAUUGACAUCUCUGUACAUGACAUGCGGGAUCAUCACUAGCUAGCUAGCAAAGUACAAAAUGAAAGAAAGCUGUCAUGUUCUAUUGAGAGGGAAGAGGUGCAUCAUCCCAGACUGAUUUAUGUGUAGCCGAGAUAAGAGUCCCCUGACAACACACAGUAGCAACAUGAUGUUCCCGUUCAUCACUUCUUCUCCAUUGCUGGUACUGUUGUGCAUAUAUGAAGUAUAAAAUGCCACUUGAUGUUAUAAUCGUAAAACUGUCUUAACCAUUUGUAACUGCUUACUUUUAGGUUGAAUUUGUUGUCGUGUUACAGAUUCAUUCUCUAUAGAGACAUAAUUCCUUGUAAUAUAGUGUAAUGGCUCACUCAUUUGAGCGCAAUUUCUUUUUUUUCUCGAAAAAUACUA
Molecule: long non-coding RNA, 1853 nt
Organism: Oncorhynchus keta (chum salmon)
Lineage: Eukaryota; Metazoa; Chordata; Actinopteri; Salmoniformes; Salmonidae
Exons: 3
Source: RefSeq, a predicted model, not a curated record